AAGAGUAAAGUACUUCCGCUUCCUUAGGUGGAGCUGGAAAGGUGGAGGCGGAAGUGACUGAUCAAUUCAGGGGCGUGGGGUUCGUUUAGGUUUUGCCCUGUGUAUGACCUCGUUUGGAGCCAUGAAACCAGGUGGCUUUUCUACAAUAUAAAGAUGGAAAUGGGAAGAAGAUGUUCAUUGCAAAUUAAGGAAGCUCUUCCACGAGUUCACGAAUGGAAAUAACAUCAAGAGUUUUUCAUCUUCUUAGUGUGCAAGGUUAUUUUAGGGCAAUGAUGGAAAGCACCAAGUGGAGUCUGGAGCUAGACUGAUCUGUGUUCAAUCCUGUCUUGGUUACUCAUUGGGGGGCCUCGACUUUCAUGUCUCUGUAAUGUCCCUGACAGUAUCUGCCUCACAGGGUUGCUGUGAGAGUCAAGCGAGAUAAAUAUCAAGGAGUGCAAUUCCUGGAUUUAUGAUGUCUGAGGAAUAGUCUUAGUGGAUUAUCCCAAACUUGACACAUUUUUUGCAAAAUGCUAUACAAAAAGAAGAUACAUGCGAUUAUGACAAGAUUCUCCACUUGGUGUGACCAGUCUCAUACAACCCAAGGCUGUGUGUCCAAAGGCAACUGUACUGAAUACCGGAAAGCAUGUAUUUGUUUGCUAAAUUGCUCUCUUUCCACCAGUGAUAUCAAUUCUGAAAUACUUUUGAGAUCUUGACAAUAAUCAAAAGGUAGCCAGGUGCAUCGGGGAAAGCACUGACAUUGGAGUCAGACAGACUGAAGUUCAUAUCUGAUUCUGCUAUAUGACAACGUGUGGGCUAUGUGGCUAACUUCUCAGAGCUUCAGUUUUCUCAAGGGCAAAAUGAAAAUAAUAGAAAUAAUAGAAUCCACCUCACAGGGCUGUGGUGAGAAUUGGAGAUGAAGCACAUACAGCAUAUUACAUCAACUAAACACAUGCUAAGCACAUGACAGAAUUGCUCUGUUGAAGUUUUGCAAGGUCAAAUGACUCACUUUGUCUAAUGGAACGGGAACGAACAAUUUUUUUGUGUCACGUUUGAACAGAUACCUUUGAGAAGUUUAUGAUUCUCCAAGUUCUCUUUCUCCUACUGUGGCACCUACUGACAAGAUAAAUGUGUAGAGGUUCCUGAGUCUAGGGGCACUGGAACCAGCUGACUGAUCUAUGGAAGUUCCCUUGGUCUCCAUUUGUUUAGAAAAGGGAUGAAGAAACUGAGGCCCACAGAAGGUGGGUGAUACCUGCAAAAUCACAAGCUUUCAUGGUGAAAGAAGAGGGCAAAACUCAACCCGUCUCUUUAGACUUGGGAAGAAUAUGAAAGGACCAGGAGGGACACCUUUCCUAAUAACCUAGCUGAUGGUUCACUUAUUGUAAGCACAUUCUCAAACAAGAGGCUGGAAAGCUGAAAAAUGACAUUCCCAGACUCCAUUGAAAUUAGAUUUCCAGAGGUGAUUUAUGUUCCACACAUCAGAUGUAUAUGCUCAAGAUUUGUUUAACAGGGAAGGAGGCAGUGGUGUGUGGGUCCCUUUUGCUCAUGUGAAUCUUACAGAGUUGUCUCACUAAGCCCAAAUUUGUCUAACUGGCCUUAUUUCCCUGGAGUAUAUCCUGGAAGUUUCCAUUCAAGCCAAUUUAAGUUACUUUAAAUUAGGAAAGGCAGAAAACAAAAGCCCAAACCUUUGUAAAGGAGGAGGAUUUGCUACAUUGUUCUCAAUUCAUCACAGAAGAGGAUGAAACUGAGUGAUUACACUUGCUGGAGAGAAAAAAAGUCCUUCCCCCGCUCACCCCAAAUAAAGCAUUAACUUUAUGUUAAUCCAUGAA
RNAcentral lists this long non-coding RNA (1805 nucleotides) under Homo sapiens (human). Its description in RNAcentral is "PREDICTED lncRNA (TCONS_00005057)". The record is from RNAcentral. Lineage: Eukaryota; Metazoa; Chordata; Mammalia; Primates; Hominidae.